RNAcentral lists this ribosomal RNA (459 nucleotides) under uncultured bacterium. RNAcentral describes it as "partial 16S ribosomal RNA". It matches the Rfam family "Bacterial small subunit ribosomal RNA", at positions 338 to 795 of the family's 1533-position model. The record is from RNAcentral.
CCUACGUGAGGCAGCAGUGAGGAAUAUUGGUCAAUGGGCGGAAGCCUGAACCAGCCAAGUAGCGUGCGGGAUGAAGGCCCUACGGGUCGUAAACCGCUUUUGCACGGGGAUAACACCCUCCACGUGUGGAGGUCUGUAGGUACCGUGCGAAUAAGGGUCGGCUAAUUCCGUGCCAGCAGCCGCGGUACUACGGAGGGCCCGAGCGUUAUCCGGAUUCAUUGGGGUUAAAGGGAGCGUAGGCGGGCGUUCAAGUCAGCGGUAAAAUCGGGCGGCUCAACCGCGCCCCGCAGUUGAAACUGGACGCCUUGAGUACACAAGAGGCAGGCGGAAUGCGUGGUGUAGCGGUGAAAUGCAUAGAUAUCACGAAGAACCCCGAGUGCGAAGGCAGCCUGCCGGGGUGCGACUGACGCUGAGGCUCGAAGGUGCGGGUAUCAAACAGGAUUAGAUACCCCAGUAGUC